Long non-coding RNA from Magnolia sinica, 506 nucleotides. RefSeq lists it as uncharacterized. NCBI's taxonomy places the organism in Eukaryota, Viridiplantae, Streptophyta, Magnoliopsida, Magnoliales, Magnoliaceae. The transcript has 3 exons. The record is from RefSeq and is a predicted model, not a curated record.
ACUCAUUGUGACUCUUGUUCUUUCUCCACCUCUCUAAGCAAUGCCGGCCCUAACCCAUCCCCAAUCAAAACUUUUCAACACCGUCCAAACCCCAUCAUUUUUGCCCCAUUGUCGCCGACAGGAACUCGCUGCACCUGUUCUCGUUGCACUCAUUUCCAUUGUCGAUCUGGUAGUGGAUCCUAGAUGGAUUUGCUGAUUUCAGGAGAAUCAGGGGAUAUGGUUUUUUCAUAACCCCUCCAUCAUCCCGAGCGUCAGGUUCUUGCAGUGUGUGGCUUUGGAACAUGGUCUGAUACUAGUGGACACAAAGUAAGAAUUUGGAAAGGGACCUGAUGACAUCUAUGGAGAAUUGGAGGUGAAGGAACUAUGCAUCGAACUAAAUGAUAAAGUAUCAGAGAUGGAAUGAUUACAAUCUAAGUUGAUUAGAAGAGACUUGGAAGAAGAAACAGAGGAACCUGCUAAGAGUAGUUUAAAAGCUGUUAUUGCGACCUUAGAGAAGGAGAAUGUCA